This 253-nucleotide unclassified non-coding RNA is filed under the name uncultured bacterium. RNAcentral describes it as "contains 16S-23S intergenic spacer region". It matches the Rfam family "Bacterial small subunit ribosomal RNA", at positions 524 to 776 of the family's 1533-position model. The record is from RNAcentral.
UACAGAGGGUGCGAGCGUUAAUCGGAUUUACUGGGCGUAAAGCGUGCGUAGGCGGCUUUUUAAGUCGGAUGUGAAAUCCCCGAGCUUAACUUGGGAAUUGCAUUCGAUACUGGGAAGCUAGAGGAUGGUAGAGGGAGGUGGAAUUCCGGGUGUAGUGGUGAAAUGCGUAGAUAUCUGGAGGAAUACCGAUGGCGAAGGCAGCCAUCUGGCCUAAUACUGACGCUGAGGUACGAAAGCAUGGGGAGCAAACAGG